AUUGAACGCUGGCGGCAUGCCUUACACAUGCAAGUCGAACGGUAACAGGUCUUCGGAUGCUGACGAGUGGCGAACGGGUGAGUAAUGCAUCGGAACGUGCCCAGUAGUGGGGGAUAGCCCGGCGAAAGCCGGAUUAAUACCGCAUACGACCUGAGGGUGAAAGGGGGGGAUCGCAAGACCUCUCGCUAUUAGAGCGGCCGAUGUCAGAUUAGCUAGUUGGUGGGGUAAAGGCCUACCAAGGCAACGAUCUGUAGUUGGUCUGAGAGGACGACCAGCCACGCUGGGACUGAGACACGGCCCAGAAUCCUACGGGAGGCAGCAGUGGGGAAUUGUGGACAAUGGGCGCAAGCCUGAUCCAGCAAUGCCGCGUGCAGGAAGAAGGCCUUCGGGUUGUAAACUGCUUUUGUCAGGGAAGAAAUCUUCUGGGUUAAUACCUCGGGAGGAUGACGGUACCUGAAGAAUAAGCACCGGCUAACUACGUGCCAGCCGCCGCAGUAA
Molecule: ribosomal RNA, 498 nt
Filed under: uncultured bacterium
Lineage: Bacteria
Description: partial 16S ribosomal RNA
Rfam family: Bacterial small subunit ribosomal RNA
Source: RNAcentral